UACUACUCAUAAUCUGCGUCCCAAAAAUUUGGUGGUUUCUUCUUUCCGCAUGGGUGUUGUUCUUUAUAUGGGUAACAUAUACUUUACUAUACAAUGCAGUUCACCUUCGUCAACGCCACGGCCAAGCCCAAGAGCCAAAUGAGUUGCCGAAUGAGUUGCCCUAAGAGCCAAAUAAUGAGUUGCCGAAUGAGUUGCCCUAAGAGCCAAAUAAUGAGUUGCCAGUGUAACCAUACCGAGCCCUUGAAGAGAUUCAUUUGUGUGUUCAGAAUCAUUUGUGUGUUUCUCACUGGUCGACGUCUAUAUCCAUUGAAGAGAUUCAUUUGUACGGUCGAUGAAAGACAGUUGUCUAUAUAUAUAUAAUUGCGUGGUGUGAUUGAACUUACAAGUGCUAUUUUUACCAGUAUGACCGCAACUUGGUAACGUUAUCUGUAAUAUAUUGUUUGAAUAC
This 448-nucleotide long non-coding RNA is filed under the name Populus trichocarpa (black cottonwood). RNAcentral describes it as "long non-coding RNA (PTRI_LNC001095)". Lineage: Eukaryota; Viridiplantae; Streptophyta; Magnoliopsida; Malpighiales; Salicaceae. The record is from RNAcentral.